AACUUUCAACAAUGGAUCUCUUGGUUCUCGCAUCGAUGAAGAACGCAGCGAAGUGCGAUAGGUUUUGUGAAUUGCAGAAUUGUGAAUCAUCGAAUUUUUUGAACGCACAUUGCACCCAUUGGUAUUCCGAUGGCUACACUUGUUUGAGCGUCAUUUCAUUCUCCUAUAUGGGUUUUUAGCUUGAUUAAAUCUCGCUGAAUUAUAGUGGUGUCGCUACCAGACCACAACGUGAUAGAAUUUCGUUGGAUGUGACUGGGAUUGCUCACCUUAAAUAUUAUGUAUAGAUCUCAAAUCAAGCAGGACUACCCCGCUGAACUUAAGCAUAUCAAUAAGCGGAGGCU
RNAcentral lists this unclassified non-coding RNA (341 nucleotides) under uncultured Saccharomycetes. Its description in RNAcentral is "sequence contains ITS2". The stretch from base 1 to 153 matches the Rfam family "5.8S ribosomal RNA". Lineage: Eukaryota; Fungi; Ascomycota; Saccharomycetes. The record is from RNAcentral.